Otolemur garnettii (small-eared galago) is the source of this 107-nucleotide non-coding RNA. The record is from Rfam. Lineage: Eukaryota; Metazoa; Chordata; Mammalia; Primates; Galagidae.
GUAUAUCCUUUGGCAGCCCAUGUACUAAAAUUGGAAUGAUAUAGAGAACAUUAGCAUGGCCCCUGUGCAAGGAUGACAUGCAAAUUCAUGAGGCAUUCCAUAUUUUU